GACGAACGCUGGCGGCGUGCCUAACACAUGCAAGUCGAACGCAGUGGGGACGGUUGCGUAACACGUGGGUAACCUCCCAUCAGAGGGGAUAACACUUGGAAACAGGUGCUAAACCGAUACUGAUGGAUGGACCCGCUGUGCAUUAGCUAGUUGGUGGGGUAACGGCUCACCAAGGCAACGAUGCAUAGCGGACCGGAGAGGGUGAGCGGCCAAACGGGGAGUGAGACAGGGCCCAAACUCCUACGGGAGGCAGCAGUGGGAAAGCUACGGCAAUGGGCGAAAGUCUGACCGAGCAACGCCGCGUGAGUGAAGAAGGUUUUCGGAUCGUAAAACUCUUUUAUUGGGGAAGCGGUAUCUAAACAGAAAGCCACGGCUAACUACGUGCCAGCAGCCGCGGUAAUAC
Molecule: ribosomal RNA, 403 nt
Filed under: uncultured bacterium
Lineage: Bacteria
Description: partial 16S ribosomal RNA
Rfam family: Bacterial small subunit ribosomal RNA
Source: RNAcentral